AGGGAAGCGAGUUCCACAGGAACGGUGCAGCCCUCGAGAAAUCUUGAAGGCGAGCAUCAGAGGUGGGAGUACGGACAGAAGAUAGACGUAAGUCUUCAGCAGAUCGUAAGGGCCUAGACGGGACAUACUUGUGUAUAAGGGAUGAUAGAUAGGUGGGAGCAGCAUUAUGUAGAGAUUUGAAAGCAAGAAGCCGAAUUUUAAAUUGAGCUCUAUAUUUUAUAGGAAGCCAAUGUAGGGACUGACAGAAG
Non-coding RNA from Pelobates cultripes (western spadefoot toad), 248 nucleotides. Lineage: Eukaryota; Metazoa; Chordata; Amphibia; Anura; Pelobatidae. The record is from the annotation of a GenBank genome assembly.